RNAcentral lists this ribosomal RNA (253 nucleotides) under uncultured bacterium. Its description in RNAcentral is "partial 16S ribosomal RNA". It matches the Rfam family "Bacterial small subunit ribosomal RNA", at positions 524 to 776 of the family's 1533-position model. The record is from RNAcentral.
UACGUAGGGUGCAAGCGUUGUCCGGAAUCACUGGGCGUAAAGGGCGCGUAGGCGGCUCAGUAAGCGUGCGGUGAAAGCCCGGGGCUCAACCCCGGGUCGGCCGUGCGAACUGCAGAGCUGGAGCACUGUAGAGGCAGGUGGAAUUCCGGGUGUAGCGGUGGAAUGCGUAGAGAUCCGGAAGAACACCGGUGGCGAAGGCGGCCUGCUGGGCAGUGGCUGACGCUGAGGCGCGACAGCGUGGGGAGCAAACAGG